Non-coding RNA from Gossypium hirsutum (cotton), 106 nucleotides. NCBI's taxonomy places the organism in Eukaryota, Viridiplantae, Streptophyta, Magnoliopsida, Malvales, Malvaceae. The record is from Rfam.
AAUUCGUGGUGUGGGUAUUUUUGAAUCAACAUUUUGAAAUAUUCCCACACCUCGUAGAAACUUUCUCCCUCCAUCUAUCUAAAGGCAAUAAUCUCUCUUCUUAGUU